Long non-coding RNA from Haliotis rubra (blacklip abalone), 1149 nucleotides. RefSeq lists it as uncharacterized. The record is from RefSeq and is a predicted model, not a curated record. NCBI's taxonomy places the organism in Eukaryota, Metazoa, Mollusca, Gastropoda, Lepetellida, Haliotidae. The transcript has 2 exons.
UUUGCAUUGACAGUUGGUGAUGUCAAGUGAUAAGCUGUCCUCUCUCCACUCCCCACUCCUCAACCUUGACCUACAGGUGGCUGACUGCAAUAAUCAAAACAGAGUUGUCUCCCUUGAACUAGACAGAACUGACCUCAAGAAACUGAUCGCAUCAUUAGAGGGAGCUGGGAAGGCUGUGCAGCAAUUAUCCUCCUGAGGUCAGACGAGAGGUCCCGCCAUCAUUCCAAAAGUCUUCCUCAAAUGCAUGGUCGUCUACUCACACUGAUGUUGAGACUCUCACUCAGUCUACAUGCCGUUCCACAUUGUAUUACUGGAGUAGAUCCUUCAUGAAGAGUUCAACCUGUCAUGUCUGGGAUGUGGAAAUGUGCAAUAUUCACCUGACUGUGUGUUUUGUUUGAUUGGUAUUUUAGAAUUUGAUGAAUAACAAGAAAGUUAGGAUACUUUAUGGAGGACAACUUCUUGAAUAAAUUACCAUGCAAUGUUUCGGGCAUAGGUUGUCAAGCAAGAGUGACCGUAUAGACAAACCUUAAUGGAUAACAACUUUAUUUCACGAGUGGGACGUUUCGAUUCUUGUACCGUUGUCAAUCUGGAGCGAUGUACAACGGUACAAGAAUCUGUAUUGAAAUGUCACACUCACAAAUAGAGAAAUUGUUAUCUAUAAAGGCUUGUUUACAUUGUACUUCCACAAUGACACGCAAAGAACUUAAGACUGACUGUGUUACCAGCUGGGUAAUCUGAGAAUGUUUCAAAUCCAUCAACAUUGCGUUAUUUGAUGAGUGAUCCAAAUAUUCCCAUCCUUAAAAGCUGAAUCACACAUCUAUCAGAAUGAGGUUUUGUUAUAUGUACAUAGAGAGGAAGCAUGCUAUUUGAUGAAUGGUAAAUAACUAUUUACUUACAAACAGUUGUCAACAUGGUCAAGUCAGUAUUAACUAACCCAACGCACCUCGUACAUUGUCAGACACAGCCACCAGUCUGAGAUAAGUGGAAAUCCAUAGGCCUGGUAGGUUUCAUCCCAGAUGUAUAUACUUUGCAUAGACCGCUUGUCUGAAAUUGUGAUUUGAAUAAACCAUUGGUGUCUACUAUGGUUUAAAUGUUACUGUUCGGUCACUAGUUAUUGCCUUGAUGAUGUAAUAAACUGCUAUAAUGUGA